GACGAACGCUGGCGGCGUGCCUAACACAUGCAAGUCGAACGGAAAGGCCGUGCUUUUGUGGGGAGCUCGAGGGGCGAAGGGGUGAGUUACACGUGAGUAACCUGCCCUUGACUUUGGGAUGUCCUCAGGAAGCUGGGGCUAAUACCGGCUAGGAGCUCCUGCUGCUGGGUGGGGGUGGGAAAGUUUCGGUGGUUGGGGAUGGACUCGCGGCUUAACAGCUUGUCGGGGGGGUAGUGGCUUAGCAAGGCAUUGAAGGGUAGCCGGCCUGGGAGGGUGACCGGCCACGUUGGGACUGAGAUACGGCCCAGACUCCUACGGUAGGCAAGGGUGGGGAGGAUUGCACAAGGGGCGGAAGCCUGAUGCAGCAACGCCGCGUGGGGGAUGACAGCCAUCGGGUUGGAAAGCGCAGUCGCCUGAGACGAGGCGAUAGUGACGGUACCGGGAGAAGAAGCACCGGCUAACUACGUG
Molecule: ribosomal RNA, 468 nt
Filed under: uncultured bacterium
Lineage: Bacteria
Description: partial 16S ribosomal RNA
Rfam family: Bacterial small subunit ribosomal RNA
Source: RNAcentral